GCACAAGCGGUGGAGCAUGUGGUUUAAUUCGACGCAACGCGAAGAACCUUACCUGGGCUCGAAAUGUUAUGGACCGGAGUGGAAACAUUCCUUCCCCGCAAGGGGCCGUAAUAUAGGUGCUGCAUGGCUGUCGUCAGCUCGUGUCGUGAGAUGUUGGGUUAAGUCCCGCAACGAGCGCAACCCUUAUCUUCAGUUGCUACCAUUUAGUUGAGCACUCUGACGAAACCGCCUCGGAUAACGGGGAGGAAGGUGGGGAUGACGUCAAGUCCUCAUGGCCUUUAUGUCCAGGGCUACACACGUGCUACAAUGGCCGGUACAAACCGUCGCAAACCCGUGAGGGGGAGCUAAUCGGAAAAAGCCGGCCUCAGUUCGGAUUGGAGUCUGCAACUCGACUCCAUGAAGCUGGAAUCGCUAGUAAUCGCGGAUCAGAAUGCCGCGGUGAAUACGUUCCCGGGC
RNAcentral lists this ribosomal RNA (456 nucleotides) under uncultured bacterium. RNAcentral describes it as "bacterial SSU rRNA". It matches the Rfam family "Bacterial small subunit ribosomal RNA", at positions 923 to 1379 of the family's 1533-position model. The record is from RNAcentral.